UCAAGCGAACAAGGGCGCAGGGCGAAUGCCUUGGCACUGGGAGCCGAUGAAAGACGUGAUAAGCUGCGAUAAGCUUCGGGGAGCUGCAAAUAAGCAUUGAUCCGGAGAUUUCUGAAUGAGGAAACUCACCUGGGUUCAUACUCAGGUACGUUACACUGAACUUCAAAAUAGGUAUAUCGGGGGAACCGCCUGAACUGAAACAUCUAAGUAGGGCGAGGAAGAGACAUCAAACGAGAUUCCGUAAGUAGUGGCGAGCGAACGCGGAAGAGGGCAAACCGGGAGUAGAAAUACUUCCGGGGUACGGACUGCUUUUAGGACUUAAUCUGUUAACCGAACGGCAUGGGAAGGCCGGUCAGAGAGUGUGAGAACCACGUAGGUGAAAACGGAGAGAGCUGCGCAGGAUCCAGAGUACGGCCAGACACGUGAAACCUGGUCGGAAGAUGGGGGGACCACCCUCCAACCCUAAAUACUACCCAGUGACCGAUAGCGUAUAGUACUGUGAAGGAAAGGUGAAAAGCACCCCGGGAGGGGAGUGAAAAAGAACCUGAAACCCUGUGCCUACAAGCACCUAGAGCACGUCAAUGUGUGAUAGGGUACUUUUUGUAGAACGGUCCGGCGAGCGAUUGUAUGCAGCAAGGUUAAGGACUUAAGGUCUGGAGCCGAAGCGAAAGCGAGUUUGAAAAGGGCGUUAAGUUGCAUACAAUGGGCCCGAAACCGGGUGACCUACCCAUGGUCAGGUUGAAGUGGAAGUAAAAUUCCAUGGAGGACCGAACCGACCUCCGUUGAAAAGGCGGCGGAUGAACUGUGGGUAGCGGAGAAAUUCCAAUCGAACCCGGAGAUAGCUGGUUCUCCCCGAAAUAGUUUUAGGACUAGCCUCAAGUUAGAUACCUGGAGGUAAAGCACUGAAUAGCCUAGCGGCCGAGAGGUUAGCGAAGCUUAUCAAACUCAGAAUGCCAGAGUAUUGAUGCUUGGGAGUCAGACAGUGUCAGAUAAAUGUCAUUGUCAAAAGGGAAACAGCCCAGAUCUACAGCUAAGGUCCCAAAGUCAGGUUAAGUGGAAAACGAUGUGAAGAUACGCAGACAACCAGGAUGUUGGCUCAGAAGCAGCCACUCAUUCAAAGAGUGCGUAAUAGCUCACUGGUCGAGCGUCUUUGCGCGGAGAAUUUAACGGGGCUAAACCUGACACCGAAGCUUAGGCAAUACAGCAAUGUAUUGGGUAGGGGAGCGUUGUAUACGCGGUGAAACAGUAGCGCAAGCGGCUGUGGAGUGUAUAGAAGUGAGAAUGCCGGAAUGAGUAGCGCGAAUGCAGUGAGAAUCUGCAUGGCCGAAAGCCUCAGGUUUCUGGAGGAAGGUUCGUCCGCUCCAGGUUAGUCGGGAGCUAAGGUGAGGCCUAACGGCGUAGCCGAUGCACAGACGGUAGAGAUUCCGUCACCACCAAAAGAGUUAAACACAGGGACACAUUUGAAGUCUCGGAGCCGGGUGUUGGUUCCGGUAGCGAUCGAGGGAAGUUAGUACCGAAGUCCGGGAUGGAAGAUGGCGAGAAAAGCUGUGUGUAUUUCUGCGGUGCCCGUACCGCAAACCGACACAGGUAGGUAGGAAGAAGAUUCUAAGGCCAACGGGAGAAGGGUUGUUAAGGAACUCGGCAAAUUGACCCCGUAACUUCGGGAGAAGGGGUGCUCCAGAGAUGGAGCCGCAGAGAAUCGGCCCAAGCAACUGUUUACCAAAAACACAGGUUUGUGCUAAAUCGAAAGAUGACGUAUACGAGCUGACGCCUGCCCGGUGCUGGAAGGUUAAGAGGAGAUGUGCAAGCAUUGAAUCGAAGCCCCAGUGAACGGCGGCCGUAACUAUAACGGUCCUAAGGUAGCGAAAUUCCUUGUCAGGUAAGUUCUGACCCGCAUGAAAGGCGUAAUGAUUUGGGCACUGUCUCAACAGCCCGCCCGGCGAAAUUGUAGUAC
RNAcentral lists this ribosomal RNA (1954 nucleotides) under metagenome. Its description in RNAcentral is "bacterial LSU rRNA". It matches the Rfam family "Bacterial large subunit ribosomal RNA", at positions 3 to 2050 of the family's 2925-position model. The record is from RNAcentral.